Molecule: non-coding RNA, 28 nt
Filed under: Rattus norvegicus (Norway rat)
Lineage: Eukaryota; Metazoa; Chordata; Mammalia; Rodentia; Muridae
Source: RNAcentral
UCGUAAGCAAAGUAGAUGUACCCCACAC